Non-coding RNA from Serratia sp. M24T3, 137 nucleotides. Lineage: Bacteria; Pseudomonadati; Pseudomonadota; Gammaproteobacteria; Enterobacterales; Yersiniaceae. The record is from Rfam.
GCCAUACUACGAUGCAACGAACGGGGGUGCAACGUGGGUGAAAGUAAACGAUGAUCCCAAAGGAACUCUACGGUAAAAUACCACUCAAAAUGAAAAACCAAUCCUGGCCUGGUGUUUACUCCGGGUGAGGUUUUUUU